AGAGUUUGAUCCUGGCUCAGAACGAACGCUGGCGGCGCGUUUUAAGCAUGCAAGUCGAGCGGCAAGGGCCUUCGGGCCCCUAGAGCGGCGGACGGGUGAGUAACACGUGGACAAUCUGCCCCCCGGUCCGGGAUAGCCUUGGGAAACCUGGGAUAAUACCGGAUACGAGCGGGGCCCCGCAGGGGGCCCCGGGGAAAGGCGCUUCGGCGCCGCCGGGGGAUGAGUCCGCGGCCCAUUAGCUAGACGGCGGGGUAAAGGCCCACCGUGGCGACGAUGGGUAGCCGGCCUGAGAGGGUGAUCGGCCACAUUGGAACUGAGACACGGUCCAGACUCCUACGGGAGGCAGCAGCUAAGGAUCUUCCGCAAUGGGCGAAAGCCUGACGGAGCGACGCCGCGUGAACGAUGAAGGCCGUGAGGUUGUAAAGUUCUUUUCGGGAGGGGGAAUAACCGUGGCAGGUAAUGGCCGCGGGAUGACGUGAAUCCCGGAAUAAGCCCCGGCUAACUACGUGCCAGCAGCCGCGGUAACACGUAGGGGGCGAGCGUUGUUCGGAAUCAUUGGGCGUAAAGGGCGUGCAGGCGGCCCUGCCAGUCUGGCGUGAAAGGCCCCGGCUCAACCGGGGAGACGCGCUGGAAACUGCAGGGCUUGAAUACAGGAGGGGAUGCCGGAAUUCCAGGUGUAGGGGUGAAAUCUGUAGAUAUCUGGAAGAACACCAAUGGCGAAGGCAGGCAUCUGGCCAUG
RNAcentral lists this ribosomal RNA (739 nucleotides) under uncultured bacterium. RNAcentral's name for it is "bacterial SSU rRNA". It matches the Rfam family "Bacterial small subunit ribosomal RNA", at positions 8 to 736 of the family's 1533-position model. The record is from RNAcentral.